Tupaia belangeri chinensis (Chinese tree shrew) is the source of this 342-nucleotide long non-coding RNA. RefSeq lists it as uncharacterized. Lineage: Eukaryota; Metazoa; Chordata; Mammalia; Scandentia; Tupaiidae. The transcript has 2 exons. The record is from RefSeq and is a predicted model, not a curated record.
CAAGACAAGACAAGACAAGACAAGACAACAGCAGGCAAUGCAGGAAAAUUCCCUGGGGGAGAUACAGAGAGCUGAUCUUGCGGUAGAGCAGAGACGUUUUUCUCACACCGCCUUCCGAAGACGUCCACAGCAGACGGCGCUCCCUUUUAAACUCUGACUGUGUCACGCGGAGACAGAAGAACGCUCACGUCUUAGAUAAGCAGCUCAGCAAACAUCUCUGCACAUCCACAAUGAGUCAACUCGUCAUACAAGCCUGCUUGUUUUAAAGGUGGUUCGGCCUCUUUAAAGCAAACCGACCGCUCUCACAGCCUGCAGACAACUAGACAACAGAGAACAUUUCAG